GUGGUAGUGGACUAGGAGGCAUAGCCAGGUGCGUGUGUUAGUGGUGGUGGACUAGGAGGCAUAGCCAGGUGCGUGUGUUAAUGGUAGUGGACUAGGAGGCAUAGCCAGGUGCGUGUGUUAGUGGUGGUGGACUAGGAGGCAUAGCCAGGUGCGUGUGUUAGUGGUGGUGGACUAGGAGGCAUAGCCAGGUGCGUGUGUUAGUGGUAGUGGACUAGGAGGCAUAGCCAGGUGCGUGUGUACUGUAUCUGUCUGUCUGUCUGUCAGU
Oncorhynchus keta (chum salmon) is the source of this 265-nucleotide long non-coding RNA. RefSeq lists it as uncharacterized. The transcript has 3 exons. NCBI's taxonomy places the organism in Eukaryota, Metazoa, Chordata, Actinopteri, Salmoniformes, Salmonidae. The record is from RefSeq and is a predicted model, not a curated record.